Molecule: ribosomal RNA, 598 nt
Filed under: uncultured Bacilli bacterium
Lineage: Bacteria; Bacillati; Bacillota; Bacilli
Description: bacterial SSU rRNA
Rfam family: Bacterial small subunit ribosomal RNA
Source: RNAcentral
GGAUAACACCUGGAAACAGAUGCUAAUACCGGAUAACAACACUAGACGCAUGUCUAGAGUUUAAAAGAUGGUUCUGCUAUCACUCUUGGAUGGACCUGCGGUGCAUUAGCUAGUUGGUAAGGUAACGGCUUACCAAGGCAAUGAUGCAUAGCCGAGUUGAGAGACUGAUCGGCCACAUUGGGACUGAGACACGGCCCAAACUCCUACGGGAGGCAGCAGUAGGGAAUCUUCCACAAUGGACGCAAGUCUGAUGGAGCAACGCCGCGUGAGUGAAGAAGGGUUUCGGCUCGUAAAGCUCUGUUGGUAGUGAAGAAAGAUAGAGGUAGUAACUGGCCUUUAUUUGACGGUAAUUACUUAGAAAGUCACGGCUAACUACGUGCCAGCAGCCGCGGUAAUACGUAGGUGGCAAGCGUUGUCCGGAUUUAUUGGGCGUAAAGCGAGUGCAGGCGGUUCAAUAAGUCUGAUGUGAAAGCCUUCGGCUCAACCGGAGAAUUGCAUCAGAAACUGUUGAACUUGAGUGCAGAAGAGGAGAGUGGAACUCCAUGUGUAGCGGUGGAAUGCGUAGAUAUAUGGAAGAACACCAGUGGCGAAGGCGGCU